Molecule: long non-coding RNA, 493 nt
Organism: Cataglyphis hispanica
Lineage: Eukaryota; Metazoa; Arthropoda; Insecta; Hymenoptera; Formicidae
Exons: 3
Source: RefSeq, a predicted model, not a curated record
AAGAAAGUUAUACACAAUUUUACUGGGUUUGUCGAAACAAUCGGGCUGUGUGCCCUCCUCGCCCUCGCGACAAAUGUUCUGUUCUACAAGAAAGCGAAUUUUAUCGCUAAAUCCAAGGGGCAUAGUUGCUUUUUUAGAUAUUACUUCUCAUAAAUAAUAACGGCAUCAGACUGUGCUUCUUCGGGAUCGGCUGCACCUUUCUUCUCCAAGAGAUUCUGUUUGUAACUUGUAGCCGACAUCCAGAAAUCCAGUAAUUCUCGCUUAUUUUCAAGUUCCAUAAACUAAAAUGAAAAGAAUGAGAAUAUUUCUAACCAAAACUUCUGUCACAAAAAUAACAAUGGAUGGAAGUAUACGAUCUACAAGACAUUCAUCAGGAUCAAAUGGACGAUAAUCGAACAACUGUUCGAUGUCGAGAUUGAGCAAAUAUUUAUGCACGACCAAAGUGAACGAGUGGAUAAAAAUACACGCGAGUCAGAGAUUUGAUUGCGAAUGU